Molecule: long non-coding RNA, 386 nt
Organism: Spinacia oleracea (spinach)
Lineage: Eukaryota; Viridiplantae; Streptophyta; Magnoliopsida; Caryophyllales; Amaranthaceae
Exons: 3
Source: RefSeq, a predicted model, not a curated record
AUUAAAUGAUGAAACAAUCAUCCAUCUUUCCUAAAUAAAAACCACGUUUCUUUCAUAAACCCCAACCACUUUCUCUCUUUAAACCUCCCUCUUCACUUUCUCCCUCUCGCGACUCCCUGUUCUCUCUCACCGUUUUCUCUCUCCUCUCGACAAAACCACCAUCGAAGCUCAAAGAACCGCUGAUCAACCUCCUUCAUCGCCGGUGUAUUGUUGAUUUAAGCAAAAAAAAAAAAGCACGACAAAUUAGCAAACAAUCCAGAGAAUCCACAAGACUGCUUGUGCACGCUAUUUCUUUUGCAGGGAGGGUUGUUGCGGGUCAGUCUGGGGUGGGCAGUGGUUCUGCUAUGUUUGGUUGCUGCUAGAAGUUUUGCGUGUGUGGUGUUAAU